AUAAUUUGUAAUAUUUGUAAAAGGCCUUGUAGAGAGAUUGGAAAUACAGCUCUCAGAGAUAGCAGGAGAAGGGGAGGCUGUAAAUUAAGCUGUAUGAAGUAUGUAAGUUAAGUGAAUGAAGCUGUAUCCUGGAACCAAACACUAAUUAACUAAAUUGACAGA
This is a long non-coding RNA of Amblyraja radiata (thorny skate), 162 nucleotides long. RefSeq lists it as uncharacterized. Lineage: Eukaryota; Metazoa; Chordata; Chondrichthyes; Rajiformes; Rajidae. The record is from RefSeq and is a predicted model, not a curated record. The transcript is spliced from 3 exons.